AGAGGGAAUGAAGUGCUUCCGACUCGCACUUUCGCCUAGCGCGUGGGCACGCAUGUCUGUAAUACUCUGAAGAUUAAUUUUUACCUACACGAUAGGUCAGAAUUAUAGGGAAGUGAAGAAAAUAUAAAGGUGUCAGAGGAAAAUACUAGAUUCCACGGUUUUGUCGAAAGUGCAUGCUGGUGACGGGAGGGCAUGCCCUCCAAGCCGGAAGUGGAUAGGGUGGUGUCACGUGUUCCGCUUCGUUGGAGGAGGUGGACACCUGUCUUGGAAUCUUGGCUGACCAGCUCUCCUCCCUGCGCCCGGGACUGGACUGCGCUAGGACGUGGAGGCCUCCACCCGGAUUGCGAGCUUUACUCGCAGUGUGGAAGGUGUUGCCCAUUUCAUCUCCACAGCUUUGCCGACCCUGAUCGCUCGUUUCGGUGGCCUGGUGGGUUCACCCCAGGCUGAGCCAGCGCCUACGCACCUCUGAGCAGAGCCUUUGUGGUAGUUAACAACGAACGAUAUACAAUAACUCCGUUUAGUGAGCGCAGACUAUGCGAGAAACGCUACACACACUAUCUUAUUUAAGCCUCAUAGUUCUUAUGAGGGUCUUGAUCUGUGACCCAGGCUGGUGUAUGGUGGUGUCGUCAUAGUUCAUUUGUAAUCUCAAAUUUCUGGGCUCAAGCAAUCCUCUUGCCUCAGUCUCCCAGGUGGUUAGGACUACAGGUAUGUAGCCAUGCCUGGCUAAUUAAAAAAACUUUUUUUUGUAGAGAUGGG
This 756-nucleotide long non-coding RNA is filed under the name Homo sapiens (human). RNAcentral describes it as "HSALNT0055028". The record is from RNAcentral. Lineage: Eukaryota; Metazoa; Chordata; Mammalia; Primates; Hominidae.